RNAcentral lists this ribosomal RNA (253 nucleotides) under uncultured bacterium. RNAcentral's name for it is "partial 16S ribosomal RNA". It matches the Rfam family "Bacterial small subunit ribosomal RNA", at positions 524 to 776 of the family's 1533-position model. The record is from RNAcentral.
UACGAAAGGUGCAAGCGUUACUCGGAAUCACUGGGCGUAAAGCGCACGUAGGCGGACUCGUAGGUCAGUUGUGAAAUACCUGGGCUCAACCCGGGAACUGCAGCUGAAACCGCUUGUCUUGAAUACCUGAGAGGGUGGGGGAAUACCUGGUGGAGAAGUGAAAUUCGUAGAGAUCAGGUGGAACACCGGAGGCGAAGGCGCCUGCCUGGCAGUGUAUUGACGCUGAGGUGCGAAAGUGCGGGGAGCAAACAGG